UAGUGAGUUUGAUCCUGGCUCAGAGUGAACGCUGGCGGCAGGCUUAACACAUGCAAGUCGAACGCUCGCAGCAAUGCGGGAGUGGCAGACGGGUGAGUAACGCGUGGGAACGUGCCCUUUGGUUCGGAAUAACUCAGGGAAACUUGAGCUAAUACCGGAUAAGCCCCUUACGGGGGAAAGAUUUAUCGCCGAAGGAUCGGCCCGCGUCCGAUUAGCUAGUUGGUGAGGUAAUGGCUCACCAAGGCGACGAUCGGUAGCUGGUCUGAGAGGAUGAUCAGCCACACUGGGACUGAGACACGGCCCAGACUCCUACGGGGAGGCAGCAGUGGGGAAUAUUGGACAAUGGGGGCAACCCUGAUCCAGCCAUGCCGCGUGAGUGAUGAAGG
Molecule: ribosomal RNA, 386 nt
Filed under: uncultured Hyphomicrobiales bacterium
Lineage: Bacteria; Pseudomonadati; Pseudomonadota; Alphaproteobacteria; Hyphomicrobiales
Description: bacterial SSU rRNA
Rfam family: Bacterial small subunit ribosomal RNA
Source: RNAcentral